This 73-nucleotide transfer RNA is filed under the name Alistipes sp. AF48-12. RNAcentral describes it as "tRNA-Met". It matches the Rfam family "tRNA". Rfam says of the family: Transfer RNA (tRNA) molecules are approximately 80 nucleotides in length. Their secondary structure includes four short double-helical elements and three loops (D, anti-codon, and T loops). Lineage: Bacteria; Pseudomonadati; Bacteroidota; Bacteroidia; Bacteroidales; Rikenellaceae. The record is from RNAcentral.
GGGCCCAUAGCUCAGUUGGUUAGAGCGGCAGACUCAUAAUCUGAGGUCGGGGGAUCAUGCCCCUCUGGGCCCA